ACACCGAAAUUAAAAACUACUAUAGAUUACUGUAUGGCUUUCAACAAUGCAAAAAAGAGUAAACCGCAAAGUAAUCUAGAACAGGCCGCGAAAUAACAAAUGUAAAACUAUUCAAAUGAAUAAAUUCACGGCGUACUGUACGUACCAAAUAAAUAACGAAAAAACGAAAAAAAAAAAUAUUUAACACAUCAAAAAGUAAAUUCACAAAAAUAUUGGAGCGACAACCACUAAAUUGCAGGCUUCUGACUUGUGAUAGGCACAUACAGAAUGUAGCGGGGUUAA
This 282-nucleotide long non-coding RNA is filed under the name Mytilus galloprovincialis (Mediterranean mussel). Lineage: Eukaryota; Metazoa; Mollusca; Bivalvia; Mytilida; Mytilidae. The record is from RNAcentral.